RNAcentral lists this ribosomal RNA (466 nucleotides) under uncultured bacterium. RNAcentral's name for it is "partial 16S ribosomal RNA". It matches the Rfam family "Bacterial small subunit ribosomal RNA", at positions 28 to 507 of the family's 1533-position model. The record is from RNAcentral.
GAUGAACGCUGGCGGCGUGCUUAACACAUGCAAGUCGAACGAUGAAGCCCAGCUUGCUGGGUGGAUUAGUGGCGAACGGGUGAGUAACACGUGAGUAACCUGCCCUUAACUCUGGGAUAAGCCUGGGAAACUGGGUCUAAUACCGGAUAGGAGCGCCUACCGCAUGGUGGGUGUUGGAAAGAUUUAUCGGUUUUGGAUGGACUCGCGGCCUAUCAGCUUGUUGGUGAGGGAAUGGCUCACCAAGGCGACGACGGGUAGCCGGCCUGAGAGGGUGACCGGCCACACUGGGACUGAGACACGGCCCAGACUGCUACGGGAGGCAGAAGUGGGGAAUAUUGCACAAUGGGCGAAAGCCUGAUGCAGCGACGCCGCGUGAGGGAUGACGGCCUUCGGGUUGUAAACCUCUUUCAGUAGGGAAGAAGCGAAAGUGACGGUACCUGCAGAAGAAGCACCGGCUAACUACGUG